RNAcentral lists this long non-coding RNA (34160 nucleotides) under Coffea arabica (coffee). RNAcentral describes it as "long non-coding RNA (CARA_LNC006155)". The stretch from base 2137 to 2217 matches the Rfam family "tRNA". Lineage: Eukaryota; Viridiplantae; Streptophyta; Magnoliopsida; Gentianales; Rubiaceae. The record is from RNAcentral.
CUUUUUUUUUUUUUUUUUUUUUUGUCAACAUAAGGAGUAUCUCAACUUUUGCCAGACUAAUUUUCCUGCGCCCGUGCAUCUCGCCCCCAUGAAUACACGAGACGGUAGGAGAACCAGAAUCAACCACACGACCUGGGCCUAAUGCGGCUAUCCCAUAGCCAGCCGAUCUGCGCCGAGGGGCAAUAAACCCGCAUCACGUGCUUUGUAUGAUUGUUGCUCAUUCUAUACUAGUAUAAUUUGUUUGAACCAGGACUCAUCAGCUUAAUUGAUGGUAGGGGGAUUAUGUAUGACAAAAGUUUGGGUCUGUGCCAAAUUGGAUACGUUGUUUGCGACCCCACAGAACCAUAUUUUGAUCAAUCACUUAAAGUCUGCAAGAACCAGCGUCAGAUGGAGGCAUCCAGUUUUGCUGUUCAUGCAAGCUUUUGCUUCUGGUAAAAACAUUGAAAGGAGAAUGUGACGAGUCAUGCUUUUUUAUGGACUAGCGAGGCAAAUUCCUUAAUUACAGCUUCUGCAACGGAGUGAUGAUACCAAUUUAGCAGCAAAUUAAGUGCCGGCUUUUGCAAUUUCAAGCAAUUAUUGUCUCAAGAAUUGGUCCCCCGGGGGCCAGCAGGUCGCAACAGCAGGCUACGAGUCACUAGUACUAUCUACAUGCCUAUAUGGUUCGUAGAUGCAUGCAUGGUGAUUGGUGCAACCAACCUUAGCUGGUGGGUUCUGUCUUGAAUACUGAAUAGUACCAAGGUUGUCGCUUCGCAAUCGACGCUUCCCCAAUUCACCUCAUCCAUCCAUCCGUUUCUCUCCAGUCUCUAUACGCAUAACGCCGAUACACAUUUAUAAAUAUAAGUUGACAUAUAUUGCCUGUUACGUACAGCUUCAGUGCAUAUCCUUUUCUUUUAUUGUGCAGUACGUCCAUCGAGUACAGUACCGAUAGUUCAUUAUUGUGCAGUACUAAAGAGUACCGAUAGUUAAGUUUGUUCAUUAUUAUCUUUUUUGGAUAAAAAAACAAAAGUUUCUGAAAUUUCCAUUCUGUUCACGAGGACUAAAAUCGCUUAUAGAAGUACUUAUAGGUAGGUUAUUUGCUAAUACAAUUUUCACGUGGAGAUUUGAACUGAACAUGCACUUUUUUUUUUUUUUGGGUAAAGAGUCGACCGAUUCAGUCAACAUGUAAUAGCCAACACUAGUGAUUCGUUCUGUUCAAUACUACUGGUAUCCAGGUGAAGUGCAGUGCUAGAAUCGAAACAAGCUGAUGAUCUCAGCGACUCUGCUGGCUCCUGCAGGCGGGCGGUGAGCAGAUGUUGCAAGACUUUACUAGCUGUCUGCAAUCCAAGUGUAAAUGCCCAUCCCCCCCGAGUCUUGUCUAAAUCAAGCAUUGAAGGGAGGGAGGAUUGCAACUAGGCCAGGCUCCAUCCUGACUUUUGUUUGCCCGAUUGAUUGCCAGGCACUCUCUCGUUUUUUUUUUUUUUGUUUGUGUUGUCCAUUCGCGCGCGGCUCCAAAAAUUAACAGCUGCAUCUGGUAGAACUGCAUAGAUGUGAACUACAGUUGGACAGAAUGAAUCCACGUCUAUCAAUUAGGUAGGCGCAUAACCAGUUUUUCGGCCACACGAUCAUUCCAUUGUAACAUGUAGACAUUCGUUUAAGACCCACGAUGAUCAUCUUAUCUGUGUUCCUAUAAAACAGUUUAUAAUGCUGCGAUGAAGCAUGGUCGAAAUUACUUACUCGUUCAAUUAAGAAGAGAAAAGUUGAAUGCAAAGGUUGCCGGCAUGAAUUUUAUUUCGUCCUUGUUAAACUUGAACAUUAAUUAAACACCACUCAACUUCAUUUACUUAAGUUGGGAGUUACACUACUAUUACCCUUCUAUUCUUUUUGUUCAAGGCAGUUCCCGAUAAAUGAUUUUCUUGACAAAUCAAGUGUAUGAGAAACUGUCGCGUAUGUACCUGAGACCGAGUACAUGUUCUUUGAUGUUAGUAAUACCCAAACAAUCAAAAUGGUUGAUUUUUUACCUAUUUAGGUGAAGCUCAAAUUGACUUAUGCUUCCUUCUGAGCCAUGUUAAUUAAGAGGAUAAUUUCGCCACAGACUCGGAAUCUAGAUGUUUGUACAGCGAAUUUGUUUUUCCAAUUUUUUGAAAAGCGUUACAAAAAGUCAAGAUGGCCGAGUUGGUCUAAGGCGCCAGUUUCAGGUACUGGUCCGAAAGGGCAUGGGUUCGAAUCCCAUUCUUGACAUCUAAUUUUUUUCCCCUUCAGAAUUGGUCCUUUAAUUUAAGUAAUCAAGCCCAUAGCUUGGGCCAACGGCAACAAGCGGGCAGCUUCAAUACUUGAACUACCAUCAAUUGUCCAAAACUUUUCUCAACCCCCGUCACAAAGAUGACCUGCCCUUGUGGUGGAACGGAUGCUGCUGCUGAUUUCUAUUGGCCCAAAAAUAAUUGCUUCUCACAAAUAAAUAUUUGGAAAUGUUCAAUUAAUGCGGGAUAACAUCUGGAGAUUAGGGAUAAUAAAUUUGAAAGUAUGCACCUUAAAUCGAAAGUGUUUUAAUUGUAAAUAGAAUAGCCUCUCAAUAUUACCAAAACACCUUUUUUUUUUUUUUUUUGCUGCCAAAAACACCCCAUCCCCCUUCUUCCUACCUCCCUAUCAAAUUUAAUAUUUGUCUUAUAAUUAGUAUAUUAAAUUUUAUAAAAUAGUAUAUUAAGUUCUUUUAUAACAAUUUUUGUUCAAGAAAAUAAAAAUUAUAGAAUAUAAAAAAGUGCAUGUGCAAAUGCACAGGAAAGAAACUAGUUAAUAUGUAUAUAUAUAUAUAUAUAUAUAUAUAUAUAUAUAUAUUAAGUAUUGGUUUGAUUAUUUAUUGCUAUUACUAAAUUUGAAUAAAGUACGCUGCAUUAAUGUUCAUGUGGAUAGUUUUUUACUAAACCUUCCUCUUUAAAAGAUUCAUGUACUUGCAAGCAUGCAUGCAUGCAUACAUACAUGUACACUUAUGUACGUGAAAAUUAAACCUUCAUCUUUAAAAGAUUCAUGUACUUGCAAGCAUGCAUGCAUGCAUACAUACAUAUAUACUUAUGUACAUGAAAAUUAAAUUAGGGAAAAACUAUCCACAUGAACAUUAAUGUGGCGUGCUGUAUUUAAAUUUUAGUAAUAGCAAUAAAUAAUCAAACCAAUAUUAGGAAUAAAAGCAUGUGAUUGAAGAUGAUUAGAAAAGGAAACAUAUGAGUUGAUUGACAAAAAACAAAUAAUGUAGAAUUAAUACAGAUUUGUAUAAGGUAGGUCAUUAAUAAAUUUGUUGACAUUGAUUAUAAAUAAGGAACCAUGUUACGAAUGAAGUAAAAAAAGAUGAGAAUUAAUGGUUACAAAGAAUAGAAAACAAAAAAUAUAUAUAUAAACAUGAAAAGCCCUCCACGUGGCGAAAAGAUAGAUAGCCUAUUCAAUGACCUACCAAAACCAGAACUGAUCAUUGUGCAAAAAUUCUAGUAUUAUUUGAAAUAUUAUUUGAAAUAAUUAUUAUAUCACUUUUUAUGAUGUGAUGUAUGUGAGAUAAAAAGAUAAUUGAGAAUAUAAAAAGAUGGGUUAGGAAAUGUGUUUAUGAUGCAAGCGAAAUAUAAUUUCCCACAAGAUUUAAAAAAUUCCAAAUCCUUACCAAAAGAAAUUCUACCAAGAUUUAUGUGCAAAAAAUUUACAUAUUUGGGCAAAGAGUGUAGGCAGGGUGCGGGGGAAAAUGUCACGGUGGAUCCACCUCUUCUUAAAUGAGACAAGGCUAUUACGAUGGAAGAUGAAAGGUUGUACCAAGUGUGGAAACUGGAAAUGCUACCUACCUUCUAAGAUGAGCAUCGCAAUAUUAAUAUUUGGAGGUACAACUGUACCCCCCCCCCCCCCCAGUAAAACAAUGGCUGCCUACCUCACAUCACCUCCCUCCAUCACCAUGUCCUUUCUGCCCCUCUCUGUCAGCCCCAUUGGACCACUACAUACAUCAGAUGAUUGUGACUAACUAAGAAGAUAAAAUGAAAAAUCGUUUGAAAACGGAUAACUGAGAAAAGGGGUAGGGAAAUCAUCUGCUCUGCGGUAUAAAUAAAGCUAUCUCCCCUACAUAUAUAUACAACUAAGCGACUGAAAACACAAGCUGCUGUGUUCUGCAACCAAGAAAGAAAUUAAGAGACAGAAAAAGGCACUAGAAUUAAUCAAGUUAUCCGUCGUCGACGCAUUAAACUUGAAGGCAAGCAUUUCUACAACAUAUCUAUCUCCUUGAUUUAUUGAGCUUUGUUUGUUUGUUUGGAUGCUGGAAGGAUAAGGGCUUCAUGCAAGAACUAGCUGCAUUCAUUUAUGAUUUUGACAUUAUGUUUGAGAAAAUAUUCGAAACUUUUUUGAGUUUCAGCUCUAUCUAUCUGCCAUUUUUCGUUUCGUAGCAAGUAUCUGUUGCCAUCUUCCACCCACCGCACCCACCGCCGCUGUAUAUUUAUAAUCCAGAUCAAGCUGUUUUUCACGUUAAAACUUCUUUCUUUUUCAUGAAUAACUGAUCUUUUAUUUGCCAAUUUUUAUACCUUUUGAGUUGGCGCAUGACAUAUUCUUACAUUUAACAGCGAAUUUAUGUAACAUGAUGUUAUUUUUUUUAGGUAUUUAUUAGCGCAAUCCAUUUUAUUUCUCUUUGCCUUUUCAACCAUUUGGAUUAGUUUUAUACUUCUUUUUUACCCCACUCUUUUGAGGGGAAACAAAAUUACUCCUACUAUUUUUGUCGACUAUAUAUAUUGCAAUUAUUACACGAUAUAUUACCACAAUUAUAGGCAACAGAAUUGCAUUGACCGGAUCAUAAAAUUAUCCGUUUUUAAUCCGCAAUUAAUUUGCGUCGCUGUAGAACUGGCAAAUAUAGGAAGGAGGAUUGGAUGAUGAAGCGUGCCUUAGCUGCUUUCUUUUCCAUACUGGAUUUUUAGGCAAUCUUAACUGUGAUUCUGGUACGAAUUAACCUUAUCCAUAAAAAUGAAAUCAUCAUUCAUGGAAUCUAUUCUGUCGUGGCUACAAUUUGGUCGCAAGAUGGUAAGUCUGUCACAUGCAGGAAUAUCUUGAACAUUAUUGCCCAUAUCAAUUUUCCUCCUACUUUCCACGGCUCUCCAGUCCCGUCAAAUUCCAUAAGUACCCUAUAGAAUAAACCAACAAAGAUACAACAGUCUAAUUUAGCAGAAAGUCUUUUGGACAGGUUGAGAAGAAAGUUUUGAGGUACGUAAUGUUCAUGAGUAGUGGUAGUUUCGUACAACAACACGUACUUUCACAUGUGAGGGGGACGUGCGUCCUUCAUGCAUUUGUCCCUUUUUUUUUUUUUGGGAUGUUUUGUCCAUGUAGCUGGAUAAACGCAAGAUUCAUCUAGUCCCCGGCCGAUGUUUUUGGGAUUUUUUUUUUGGGAUGUUAUAUCUGCGAUUCAGCAGGUAGUCAAAAGUGCGGAAGAAGUUGAAUUCAUUCAUAAUUUGUGAGAAGAGAAUGAUACAGAGAAUCAGGACAAAAAGAUUGAAAGUUUUUAAGUUGUUGAAGUGUCCAUCUUCCUCCUCCUUCCCUGUAUUUUCUCGUCUAAUUCCAGCUUUAAGUUGUUAAGUAUUAUGUGCCCAUCUUCCUCCUCCUUCCCAAUAAUUUCUCAUCUAAUUACAGCGUUGCCCGAUUGGCUUCCGCAAUAUUUGGAAGGGGUUUUAUUUAAUCAGACUUCCCCAUCCCCCUUCCUUAAAUCCAACACGCCCGCCUCAUUCCUCUUUGUAUUCCCAACUCCCGUUCCCAAACUACUCCAUCGAAGAUCCCAACUCUUAUCUUAAAAAAAAAGAAAAGAAAAAAAGAGCAGCCAUAUUCUCUUCCUCCGCCUCCGCCUCCGCCUGGAAAGAUAAUAAAAAAACUACAUCGAGGGAGUGCAACAAGAAGGAGGACUUUGUCUGGCCCAUUUUUUUUUUGGUCCAAUUGAUGCGUAUCCUUCUGAUCAGAAGGAAGCUGUGCAUGGGCGCUUUCUUUGUAGUUGAUAACGAACCCUUCGGCUAAGAAAACUGCUCUAUUCAUAUUUUAUUUUUAAAAGGAAAAGCAAAAGGUAAUUAUUCUCGCGUUCUGAAAUUAUUUCUGAUUUUCUCGUGGCAAAUAUGAUUUUGUUUGGCGUUCAUCUUUCUUUUUUUGCCGGAUUUCCCUAAUUAGAAUCAAAGGAAAAUCCUUCCUUCCUGAAUCCUGAUGCUUUUGGACCACUGGAGGAGAAAAAAAAAAGUGGAGGGCUGGUUAGGUCCGAGUCGUUUGCAGUCACGUUCCACCGUCUCUUCUUUGUCCAACAUUUGCACCGUCAUCCGUCAACUGUGAUAUCAUGAGCCCAAUAUUGUCGCGUUCUUUUCUCUCUUUUCUCCUUCCGAGUCAAAUAUAUAAGUUGUUUGACAUUGAAAGGUAUUUUCGAGGUUGCACCUGAUCCAAUUAAAGAUUUCGUAACCUUCUGAAUUAAAAAUGGGGUUCAUUCGGGCAGUUUUUUCUUGAUGUUGUCUCAUGGGAAUCAUGGCUUGUGUUCAUUUAUUUAAGUUUCCAUGAAAGCUGAAGGCCUGAAUCCUUGUAACAAAUUAAAUUAUAUUGACAUCCUGGACUAAAUGUCUUAAUUGAAUCUGGGCACAAAGUAAAAGAUUUCAAAGACAGCGACGGAACACAUGACCACCUUUUCAGUUCCACUUAUCUAUCCAGUGACAUUGCUGGCAGUCUUUGAUUCGUCUGGCCAUUUCUGAAUCGUGCCUAUACAUGGUUGAAAUAUGACGAGUACAAUUGACCAGGGACUACAGUCAUCAUUUCUGCACUCUGUCACGUUACGAUUCUAUUGAGUAGAAUGAUUAACUCUCAAAUGCUGUUUUCCCUGCAGGUUUUCUUGAUCUCGGAAGCAUCUAUCGAAACUUUCUUCCAUUUUUUUAUCCAUUUGGAUUUUUUUUUGCUGUAGUUACUACCCAGUUGGAAUCAAGAUGGUGGAGGGGGGUGUUACUGCUGUGAGCAGAACAGAGCUCACGGAAUUCUGGCGGACGAUAUGGAGAACGCCUUAUAUUAUGCGCCUUGCCUUAUCAGCUGGAAUUGGAGGGCUUCUGUUUGGCUAUGACACUGGUAAGUAGACCUCGCUCCUUACUAAUUUCGAACGAUCACUUCAUCAUUUGUACGGUCUGAUAAUGAUGAAAUGCUGCUGCUGCUGAAUGCAUCAAUGAAGCAAAAAUAUUUCUUUGCAUUCAAGCUCUUACUUUUGCAGCUUUAGCUCGUCAAUCAAUCCAUCCGGGGAGGGGCCAGAAUGUAGAACAGUGCAUGAGCUUCAAAUUAUCAAAAGUAGUAGUUGAUCAAAUAGUAGUACGCGUUCUGUUCAAGUUUAUUGAAAUCGUUGUUUUGAUGCAGGUGUUAUUUCUGGUGCCUUGCUCUACAUCCGGGAUGACUUUGAUUCCGUUAAAAACAACACAUUUCUGCGAGUAAGUUACUUGCAAAUGCCUUUUGUUUGCACGAUGAAACGACUGGUUAAUUAAUAUCAGACAAGAUGGUUUAUUAUGAUACUUUCUCUGUCACGUGAAGGAAACUAUUGUUAGCAUGGCAGUAGCAGGAGCUGUGAUUGGUGCUGCAUUUGGUGGUUGGCUCAAUGACAAGUGUGGUCGGAAGAAAUCAAUUCUUUUAGCUGAUAUGCUGUUCGUUGCAGGUGCCAUACUUAUGGCUGCUGCUCCUGGUCCCUGGAUGAUCAUUAUUGGGAGAAUAUUUGUGGGAUUGGGAGUUGGAAUGGCGUCCAUGACAGCACCUCUCUAUAUUUCGGAAGCUUCUCCUGCUAGAGUUAGAGGUGCGUUAGUUAGUACCAAUGGUUUGCUGAUUACCGGAGGAGCUUUUCUGUCUUAUGUGAUCAACUAUGCAUUCACCAAGGUAUAAGAUAAGAUUGAAUCCCCAAAGCAACGUUCUUGAAACAUAACAUACUACCGGUACAAGUUUCCUCUAAAACAGGAAAAAAAAAAAAUAGGAGUGAAGAAGUUCUGACUUGUAUUUAUUUCAUGUGCCCUAGACGCCUGGGACGUGGCGUUGGAUGCUUGGAGUAGCAGGUUUUCCGGCUCUGAUCCAAUUUCUUUUGAUGCUUUGGCUUCCUGAGUCUCCUAGAUGGCUCUAUAUGGAGGUAAAUACAUAUGUAGUGGUAGUACUGCGAAUUUUCUGUUGUGGUGUGGUGUGGUGUUUCAAUAAUACCAAUUCUCGGUUAAUUUUCAUCAAAGUUUGAUGUUGGCGACCUUGAAUUCUGUUGAUUAGAAUAAAACGGACGAAGCUAGGAAGAUUCUGGAGAAGAUUUAUCCUGCCGAGGAAGUUGAGGAAGAAGUCCAGGCCUUAAAAGCCUCCAUCGAAGCUGAGAAAGCUCAGGAAGGGCCUGUAAAUGAAAACUUUUUCGCGAAGCUUAAAGCGGCCUGGGGUAAUGUAGUGGUCCGGAGGGGACUGUAUGCCGGAAUCACCGUCCAAGUAGCUCAACAGUUUGUUGGUAUCAACACCGUUAUGUACUAUAGUCCUACCAUAGUACAAUUUGCGGGAUUUGCUUCAAAUUCGACCGCUUUGGCACUAUCUCUGAUUACCUCUGGGCUUAAUGUUGUGGGUACCAUCAUCAGUAUGCUUUUUGUUGACAGAUAUGGCAGGAGGAGAUUGAUGAUAGUCUCCAUGUUUGGGAUCAUAGUUUGUCUGGUGGUGUUGUCCGUCAUGUUUUUUGAAGCUGCCUCUCAUGCCCCACGAGUCAGUCACUCUGAAUCCUUCAAUUUUAGCGUCAAUUCUACCUGUCCCAGCUUCGUCCAAGCCUCAAAUCCUGCAUCUUGGAAUUGCAUGACAUGCUUGAACGCAUCUCCUAAGUGUGCCUUUUGUUCUAAUGGAGCUAGCCAAGUGAGUUUUAAUUUUACAUGCUCUUAUUAAACGCUGUUCUUUCGAGGUUUCCACGAAUCUGUGAUUGAUACUUUUAUUAUUAUUAUUUUUUUUUUCAGUAAAUUGAUUGAUGAUUCGUUUGAAUAUGUGAUUCUUUCAUCAGUAUCAACCUGGGGCAUGCUUAGUGGUGGACGAUGCUCUGAAGGCUAAAUGCCACAGCGAACAUCAUCGCGUAUGGUUCACCGAAGGCUGUCCGAGCAAAUUCGGAAUUUUCACCGUCCUGCUCCUAGGAUUGUACAUCAUUUCGUACGCUCCUGGGAUGGGGACUGCACCUUGGAUCGUGAACUCUGAGAUAUAUCCAUUGAGAUACAGAGGGUUAGGCGGUGGAACUGCGGCAGUCUCCAACUGGGUAGCUAAUCUGAUUGUCAGCGAGACAUUCUUGACGCUGACAGAGGCACUUGGGUCUGCCGGCACUUUCCUUUUGUUUGCUGGAUUCUCCUUUCUUGGACUGGUGGCCAUUUUCUUCGUCGUACCUGAAACCAAAGGUUUGCAAUUGGAGGAGAUUGAGAGCGUGCUCCAAGAGGGUUACAAGCCAACCUUGUUCUGCUGCAAGGGAAAAGCAGAGGAAAAGGACAGUGGCAGGUGAAUAUCCAAACCAGUGCUGCAGCUGCUGCGUAAAUAAAUUUUUUUAAAAAAAAAGGGUCUUGCCUGCCUAAGUUUAAUGUUGAUCAACUUUUUUUAAGUUUAAUUUCCAACUGCGCUUGGGCUUGUUUUAUUUAAUCAACUAGUUUUGGACCCGUUCGUUGAACGGGAAUCGUCGAAAAAUAAUAAACUAUUUAGUCAAUUUAUAAAAAUGUCGAUAUAAAAUACAUAUUUAAUGUAUAAUCUAUUAUAAUUUGUUUUAAAUAUAUUACUAUGAGCGCAUUAUAAUGUAAAGUAUUCUUAUAAUAUAAAUUUGAACAUCUAAUUCAGUGAAUAAUAAUUCAAAAAUAGAAAAAAUAAUAUUCAACAAUAUCAUAGCAUUCAAAAACUUGAAAAUAAAUAAAAAGUGCAGUAAAUAGUAUCAAAUAACAUUCUACUCUUCAUAAACUUAUUUUUGUUUUUUCUGUUUGAAUAUUUUUCUUGAUUUGUCCGUGCAAAUGAGUAUUUAUUGAUUUUCUAUUAUCACUGCAUGAUAGCAAAGUAGGAUAAUUAAGUAUAAAAAAAAUAAAUGAUUUAUCGCAUUCAAGGUUGUGUAUAACAAUACGUAAAGAUUAUAAUUAAGCAAACGGCCAGAGUCUUUUAAUUAACUAAUGAAUUUGCAGAUAUAUCUAAUAGAGAUAUUUAUGUCUCUUAUAUUUAUAUCGCAUUACUUUCUAGUGCCUUUUGUUUUUGGUUGUUUUUUCUGAAGGCAAAUUAACAAACAUCGUAGUAUAUGACCACAAAAAUCAAUUAACAAACAUGAUAGAAAAAAUCCUACAAAAAAUAACAAUGAAAGUACUUGUUUAAAUCCUAUGUCUUCAUACAAAACAAAUAGAAAAUAAAACAAAAAAAAAUAAAAUUCAAAAUAUGUUAGUAAGCUCUUACAAUUGAAGAUCAACAUGCCUUUUUAAAAUAUAUAUAUAUUGAAAGAAAAUUUACCUGAUAAUCAAGAGAAGUGGAAACUCAAAAUCGAUACUUUAAUAUGACAACCGUUUGCACUGGAAAUAUCUAAACAUGAAUUUGAUGCUUGAAAUCAAUAUAUUAGAGACUAUAUAUAGUGUAGGUAUAAGAAAUAAGAAUUGAUAAGAACAUUAAAAGUAUGUUUAUCUUAAUUUAAGUUGCUUAAAGUACGUAACUUUGGGUAGGAAAUAAGAAUCCUACAAUAUAAAGAAUUCUUAUAGGAAAUAAAAUCAUAAUCGUCCAAAUAAUUUUGGGUAGGAAAUAAGAUCUUAUGUGACCCAUACUAUGCACGUAUAUAAACCUGUACGUAAUAAAUUUACAAAUGCAUUAUCAAGAUAGAUUUUACCGACCUUAAAAGACCACCUCCACUAUAUCGAGUCCUUUAAGUGCAUGAACUCCUAUAAUGUGAGUCUACACACGAAAUACUCCUCACCAUCUGGGCAGAGAUGUAUUGUGAUUAAAAAAUUAUUAAUAUAAAUAUAUUUUAAAAAAAAGACGGGCGGAGAACACUACGGAUACUACGGACGGAGGUCUUUCUCUUGGAUUGGAGGACACUAAGGACGGAGGGUCGGGUAGGGGUCUUCGGGGUGCAAAACUUCAACAAAUAUCUAAUGUUUUAUCUCAUAUUUCUUUAGUUAUGAUAAUGGGAUUUUAUUUCUUUGGUUAAUGACACUCCAUUUCUUUAUGGACUUUUCCAGAAAUUUUCAAUCAGAUGAAGUGUCAUUUCUCUUUGUACAUCAAUUAUGCAUGGGAACUGUGAGUCUUAUAAAAAUUUUCUCGGGCUAACUUUCUUUAAUUUUCAUGUUUAGAUUAUUUGUAUGUUGUUCUAUAUAUGGAUAGAUUAUCUUAAAAUAAAAAGGAUCUAUAAUGAAGCUGUUAAAAAAAAGGACACUAUAAAAAAAUAUUAUCAUUUAUUCCUAUAUAUCUAAUAGAGGAGAUUUAUGUCUCUUUUAUUUAUAUCGCGUUACUUUCCAGUUUCUUUUUUGGGUAGAAAAUAAGAAUCAUAUAAUAUUAAAAAAUUUUAUAAAAAAUAAGAAUUGAUAUAUAUCAAAACAAAAAAAGAAACAAGUCAUGUAGAAAACAACUUGUCGUCUCAUUAAAUCAUAUAAGAAAGAGAAAAUAUAAAGGGAUAAGAACGAGCAUACGACUUUAUUAUAUAUAUAUAUAUAUAUAUAUAUAUGAUACGUUGGUUUUUGGCAAGUGAAGUACUUACUAUAUAUUAUUUGGCCAAAGAGGUGCUGGUAAACUUACAAAUACAACAAUUUCGGACUCGGACCAAUUUGCUUUGUUGAGACUUUUAUCCAUCGGAUAGCAAUUAAUCUCUACCGUCCGUCUAGGCUUUAUUUCCUUAAUUUUUUGGUCAGUUCAAUGAAUGGAUAAAUAUCGUGAUGGUGGUGGAGCGCGGAUGCCUCCACUUUUAUCAAAUCAUUAUUAUUAUUAUUUACUCCCAGGAGACAAGUACCCCCCCCCCCCCCCCCAAAACAAACACACACAAAAAAGAAAAUUUUUUGACAACAAAUACUAACACUUGUAGCAAUCAUCGUCGGCCUGAGUUGUGCUCGCCUCGCCGGAGAAGUCCUUUUUGUUUUUGUUUAAUACAACAAUUGAUAAAAUGAUGAUCCCAAAUUCUACUGACUUGGUGAGGAAACAGCAGCAUUUGUUUUACUUGAACCCAUAUUUUGUUUUAUUUUUGUCGGCAAAUAUGUCAUCUAAUAAUUCAACAAUUAUUCUCGACCUCUAAGCUAUGCCCCCAUCCCCCGGCCCCCAAAAAAAAAAAAAAAAUCCUUUUAAAGCACUCUUCUUUUCUCGUUUUAUGAAUGAUUGGUGCAAACUCAUUUAGACAUUUAGUGAAAUGGACUGCAAAACAACCCGACUUUAGUCGGCAUUCGAAUAUCUGAUUACAACUUCUCUUCUUUUCAUCAAACUCCACAAUAAAACAAACUACCAGUCAUUACAGCCCGACUUUAGCAGCGGUAACGAGGCUCACAAUCUUGAGUUAAAACUAUUGAUGAUGCAGAAAGUAAUCAUCACAAGCCAAAUACACACAGGACAAUUGUCUGAACUCAAGGGCACACGGACAAACUCCAGACGGACAAAAAAGAUUUGAGAGCCAUGGCAAAAGAAAAUUCAAACUGAGUAAAAUAUAUUAUUAUUAUUGAUGAGCGGACGACCCCUACUAUCCAAACACAUAUUUUUAGUUGCUCCGCCAGCUAAUAAGGACAACACAGUAGUACUAAUACUGAAGAACGAAGAAGAAUGAAUUCACCAAAACCAUAAAAAGUUGGUGGCCAGCGCCAGCCAGCUUUCUUACUUUCCAUAGGAGGAGGCUAUAUACAGCGCAAGUAUGCAAAUGCAGCGCCCCCCCCCCCACCCCCGCCCGGGGGGGUUCCAUUUGAACUCAAACUUACUUUACAACAAGCACACUAGCAAGUUAAAAGGGACCCUACUCAACUUUUCAUCAUUUUUCAUCCUCUGCGUUGUCGCUUCAAAAUCAAAAACUGCCCCCCUCUGCCCCUCACCCUUUUCUCUCCCAACAAGUUAAAAAGCAAGAAUUAGACAUCGAGACACAUAACAUGUACCCUAAAAGUAAAAACCACCUACUAGCCUCGUGAACAUUUCCAGUCCAAUAAUAACCAAGAGGGUAUAAAAAAAAAAAACACCAUCCUUUUUACUUUUCACUGUUUUUCUAGUAAGAUCACAAACCAUCUUUGAUUUGCCAACCAUGGCGGCAACAGGGUCCGAGAUACCAAGUAUGCUAGAACAUUUUUAAGUUCUUCAAUGGAGAAACUGAAAGGAAGAAUGAGAAGAAAAGGCAGUUGUGUCCUCGUAUUGGAGUAGCAGCCCCCACUAAUAAAAGAUGCCAGACAUCAAUCAGUAAAAACAUGUGUGAAAGUGAAAGAGGACCCAAAACAAUAAUAUGAUUUUAAGUGGGGAGAGGGGGAGGAGGAGGCUGAGCAAGCAAAGUGGAGCAAGAAUGAGCUGCCUGCAUAGUUCCAUAUCAGCUAGUGGGGGCCUUUUUGACUUUGAGAACCACCAAACAGGCGCAACCAAGGUGACUAAUAUGCGAGAGAGAAUCACCAAUAGUCUAGCAUGAUUAGUCAAGAAGAAAAUCACCAAUAACGCUCCGCAUGUUCAUAGGAAUCAGAUAAUCACUUGUUAUCAGUUUCAACGAAUUUGGACAUCCAAAAACAAGCUACAGGAUUACAAUCCAAAUCCUUAGCAAACAAAACCAAAACCAGGCAACCAAAAUCUCACCCACAACGCCGUACAAUAGAAGUGUUAAUGAAGGAGGGAUGUAAACCCUCAAAAAGACCUACCCGAUAAUAAUUAAUAAUAAUAAUGCUUCUAAAAGUCAGCUCUUCAUACUAUUUCCUAGCAGUCUAUAUUUUCCCCACUCAAUAGUAGAAUCCCAAACUCUGCAUCACUCUGUACAAACUAUCAGAAACCUUCCUUCCUAUAUACAGCCAAAAACAAACCACAGCAAGCGCUGAUAGUUUGAUAUGAAGGCAACCAAUCAAAUACCUUCUACGGGGUUGAAGGAGAAGCCUCUUGUCUUGGUUCUCUCAAGUACUCCAGAAGCCUUUCAGCCUGCCAAAGAGGAUGAAAAUGGCGUCAAGGUUCGGCAUUUCAUGUGUCAAGAAAUAGAGAGUCUAAUUGAACAUAUAAAGGCAACAUAUCACUCUAAUCCUUUCCAUAGGCAGCAGGACGGGGAUGGGGAAAAUCAUGGCAAAGCAAAUUUUAAAUAGCCCACAGGGCAUUCAUAACCUCGUAAACAAAAAUCAAUACUCGGUACAAAUACCCAGAAAACAAUAAAUUCAACGAUCAAUGAACGAUACCCUGUAAAAUCUCAGCACUAUAUACCUUAACGAUCAAUGAACGAUAAAUUCAACGAUCAAUGAGCGGUACCCUGUAAAAUCUCAGCAUUAUAUAUCUUAACUAGAGGCUUCAAACUUGAUUCGAACCAACUUGUUAAGAUACUCUACCAAUUACGGGCGUCCAAAUAGUUCAGUAAGUAUGCUGGAUCAAUACGUUCAGAUAAAAAGUCAAACAAAUUAAGUUCAAGAUUUCCGCAACAACAAAUUCUCAAAAUUGCAGGUGAAGGAACAUUGGCUUGUUAUCACCUGUCAUUCGAUCUAACGCCCUAAACAGAAUGCUGCAGAAAGAUAUCUAACUACGUGAAACUAGCUUAAUUUGAUCGCAAACACAAGAAAUAGCCGAGAAACGGAAGCUUCAAUCAAUCACAGAGAAGAUCAAAACCUCACCUUGUGCUUAGCCUUAGCAGUCCCAGUCUGAGACAGCGCCACAAGGGGAGGGAUCCCCCCUUCCCUAACCAACAACCCUCUGUUCCGAACACUAUCCCCACAAAGCUGCAAUAAUGUCAACACCGCGAAUUCCUUCCCCUUAUCAGAGCCAUCUUCAAUAGCCUCCACAAAGGCAGCAAUCCCACCUUCCUCCACAAUUGCAUCGCGGCCCAUUUGAAUCCCGGCUAAGCUACUCAGCACCACCAUCGCCUUCUCUGCCAACCCUGUCCCUUGCUCUCCGACCAAACCCACCAGCGGCCUCACCGCGCCGGCAGUCACCGCCCUCUCCUUGUUCAGUUUGACCGAGCAAAGCUUGUAGAGAGUUGUCAAAGCAUCUUUCUUCCCUCUGUUCGACCCAUUUAUCAACAAGGCCACUAGCGGAGGAAUAGCCCCGCAUGCGCCUAUUGACAAUUUAUUACUCUCGUCGACUAAAGCUAAAUUCAGCAGGGCGCAGGCAGCGUUCUGUUUCGAGAUCUCGGUGCCGGUUUUCAACACAUAAACGAGUGAUUUUACAGCUCCAGCGUCAGCUAUCAGAGCUUUGUUAUCUUGAUGGAGGGAAAGAUUCAACAAGGCCGUGACGGCGUGCUCCUGCGUCAGGGGGUCUGAGCACCGGAGCAGCGGUAUCAAGGCCGGGACAGCUCCAGCCUCGCCAAUGAGAGCCCGAUUAUCGGCCCUGUUCUUGGCCAGGAGCCUCAGUUUAGCUGCCGCCGACCUUCGAACUGCGACGGAGGAGGAAUUGAGUCCGUCUACGCAGAGUUUGACGGUGGGCUGAAGGUCUUCCGGCGAGAUGCUCUCGAUAAUCUCAGUGGAGAAGGUUUCCCUCUGGAGAAAGCCAGUGCAGGGUUCGGGCUCGUCCUGGGGCUGGAGCUCAGAGAUGGGGGCAGGAUCGGGGACGGUGGCGAGUCGGUGGAGCUCGCCGGAGAUGUCGCUGGAGCAGGCGGACAAGUCGCUGCCGAAGGAACGGGAAAUCAUGUCAAGGUAAGUAAAAUCCUCAGCUACGAACGGGGCGGCGGGAUCCCGAACCCCUCCGGCGGGGGUGUGGGAGGCAGUUUUGGUGGCGAGUUCGCCGAGACGGAGGUCGAUGAGGGCGGAGUCAGACAAAUUUUCGGAAACAUUGGUAGAAAUUUGGGGAAGGGAGAGAAGGGAAGGGUGGUCGGGGGAGGCGUCAUGGAUUUGGAAGAAAUUGGAGCGAAUAGUGCGCAUGGAACGGCCCAUGGAGCGGUGAAGUUUAGCAGAAGAAGAGAGGGGCGGGGGAGUGUAAUAGUAAUGGUGUUGUUGAGGCGUUUGAGGGAAGCGAGAGGUGGAAUUGGGAAUGGAGUGAGAGUAAGUAUGGGAAUGGGAAUCUUCUACGGACACCAUCCUAUCGCUAUAAUCCUAAUCCUAAUGCUUCUAAUCCUGAGGAGUGGAAGAAGAGUAGACUGCUGUGUUGUGUUUCCUCGUAUUACUGAUGGUUUGUUUCCUUGGAUGACCAACCAACAAAUACAAAUAUGCUUUCCACCUGAAAAUCUAGACUAAACAACCUUCAUAUACACACAUAGCAGAAAGAACUAACUAACUAACUAACUGCUUGGGGUGGUGGUGGCGGUGGUUGUGGUGAGUGGUGGUGGGUGGUGGUGGCGAGAUAAUUUCCAUAAUCCGGGAAAUUAUAUGCUUUGCUGGAGCCUCGGGACUGGAGUGGAGUGGAUGUGGAAUGAAGAGUCAGUCAUCCGUGUGAGUGGCGUGUUUGGCUCGUACUGUGGUCGUAGCUAUAGUAAUAAUGGAGAAGACGACUAGCAAGAGGAUGAGGAGGGUAAAGUGAAUACUAUGAUGGGAGGGGGUUUGGCGAAUUAAAAAGGGAGGGUACCCCUUACCUUACCUUACCUUACAUAUGGAUGAAUUUGAGUGCUGAGAGUGAUGGAAGGUUCUGGUUUGGUCCAUUUGGUGGGCUCUGCUUGCUUGCAAAGGGUGGAUGGAAGGUUAUAUUUAUUAUAUUUGAUAAGUUCACGGCGCUGUGUUGUUAUAUUGGGCCUCACAAAGGAACAUACAGCUGGAAUGUGAUCCACUGCUGGGGGCCCCACUCUCAGAAGUGUGUGAGGCAAAGCUUCCCGGGGGUGGAAGAGAUCAGGUGACCCUAGCAAAUGCCAAUGAUGGUAACAGUGGAACGUCGGCGACAUGGAUACUAGGUGACGUCGUCGUUUCUUUGCUACCCCCUAGGCUACCACCGGCAGUAGUGGCCACUACUGCAGAGUUAACUGUUAAGUCGAAUCGACUUUAAGCAGUGCAUUUGCUGGAGUUCAUACUCUGAACUACUUUAUGCUAUUCGAGUUUGAUUGAAUCGAGUUCAAUCGAUUUUUCAAGUUUGAUUUUUGUAGUAAAUUUUAUAAUAAUGAAUAAUUAAAAUUAUAUUAUAAAUAUACCAUCUGAUAAGAUUUAAGGAGUGCACAAAUCGUGAUUUAACUUGCUAGAAAUCGAUUCAAUUGCUUUUUUAAACAAUUCAAACUCAACUCUAACUCCAAAUCCAACUAUGCAUAUGAUAUCGCGGUACAGUAGUAUUUCUUUUUUUUUUUUUAACAAAAUUUUGAUUCAAACGGCUUUUAGGCUUCAGAAUGAGAUAAACUCUUUCCCUCCUCAUAAUCUUUUCAUGCACCAAAAAUAUUAUUAUUAUGAUGUAUUAGAUAUAGAAGAAUAUCAGCACACAACACAGAACCAUAAACUAUUUUUAUAAAGAAAUGAAAAAGGAACGGAGCUCCCUCACUUGACUGUUCCUUGUGAAGCUCCGUGAAGACAAACAUAAAAAAAAUGAACCAAAAAAAAAAAAAAAAAAAAAAAGUACUCCUACUAGUAGUAAAAGGAUUGCAUACAAAAAAUGGGGCAAAAUCGUGACUUCAACUUGUUUGGAAAUUGUGGAAUUCCACGAGCAGUUUCUUUCUUGUAAAUGGUUUCUUGUUUAAAUUGCUAUGUUUUGAGGAAAAAAAAUUCAUUUUUCGUGAAUAAUCCUUUUAAUUAUCUUUUUUAACCUCACAUAUAUCGCAUUUUUUAAAAAAAUUGUUGCAAUAAUUUUUUUUCUAAAAAUUCUUUAAAAAAUGCAAUCCAAACAAUUUUAUUUCAAACUAGUGAUAUUUUUUUUUUCGACAGUCAGCAAUAGUCUACUCAUACUUCUACUCGAACAUAUUCUAAGGGGAGUCCAACUGGGUCAAUAGAUAACCAAUUUGAACCAAAUCACCAUCGGAUCGAACGAAUGCACUAUAUACCUGUAUGAAUUUUUUAGAGAAUCGCAUAAUGUAACAAUUAGUAGGAGGUAAGGAUUCACAAAGCCUCCCACCCCACCAAGCCUUAAGGACCUGGUGGAGGGCCGGUGGUCACAAACUAGUGAUAUCCGAAGGCUAAGAAAACGAAUAUUGAUUUGUGCACAUAAAUUCUGGUUGACAUGGAAUUGCUUCACAAGCAGAUAGAGACUAACGUCAGUCUCACUCCCUUACAAUUACUUGAGUGAAGAAUAAAUAAGUAGGAGUUCAUGCCAAUCUCCACCAUUCAUUUGAUUGCAAGCCAUAAUUCAAAAGAUACAUACAGAUUUUAGUCAGAGGUGAUCUGAGAUUAAUAUGAUAUAAAUAUAACUGUCAAAGGUUUCCCCUUUUUAAAAAUGAAAGAAAAAGAAAAAGUGUUACUCAUGGGUGUUAGGUACUGUUUAUCCACUUUGGUUAAUUACCAGGGAAAAUGAUGUGAUGCGAACUUGAUGCAGUGUAUCCUGAAAAAAAUAAGACAGUAAACCCAAAAAAAAAAAAAAAAAAAAAAAAGGAGGAGGAGAAUGAAGAAUGAAAACGUUUAUAAUUUGGUGAACAGAUUUUAUUUUUCCCGUUUUCUUUUCCGCUGAGCUGAUUUUUUCAACCUGAAGCCUGAAGGGGCCUGCAGGGGAUAAAGUGUUUAAAGGAAUAAACUUUUUCCCUUUUUUUCAUUUUUCUCGAUUCUUUUGGGUUGCGGGAGAGAGUGACAGCGGAAGCAGAUUCGCAUGGAGGGUGCCGCUACGACAAGAGGCCACUUGGUAGGAGGAGAGUAGCGUUUGGGAAGUGGUUCACAACUGUCAACUGGGACGGGUGGUGUUAAUAAAUGCCUAAUCCCUUCCUGUUCUUAAACUUUCCUCCAGGUUAGAGUCUGGAGAUUGGUCGGUUUGUGGUGAAGUUGUUCGUUGGAUCCUCAUCGGACGGUGUCAGGGGCUUUGAAAAUUGAUCCCCCAGUCAACUACUAAAGCAUUUUGCGCCAUGCAGCAGCUCGCUGGCUGUUGACAGAGGCUGACCAAAUAGGGUCCGGUUCUUCCCAAGUAAAAUUUAGUUGAAGUCAGUCGAAUUCAAUUUGGAGUAAAAAAAAAAAAUUUUGUUAUUUUCAUUCCAUUUUUUUUUAAAUUAUCUACGCUCAUAUCAUUUAUUUUAUUAGAUAGUUCGACAAAUAAAUAUUAUAUGAUUAAAAUAAUAGUAAAAAGAAGCCAAAUGUUCACCAAUUAGGCUGGCUAUCAAUCGCUGAUAUAGCCCAAUUUGCGUAGCCAUGUUCUGCAAGUAUUUGGCAUUGUACAAGUAGAGUUUGUUUUUGAUUUCGGCACGCUUUUAUCUUGUAUUAAUGCUGAUUUCUUGGAGAUAGGUAGCAGAUUAGUUAACUCACAUGAUAAUAGGUUCUGAUCUAUUAAUAUCCCCAUCCAAACCAAGCAAUCGGUUCAAGUGAUUACCUGGUACGAGAGGCUCGAUAUGUCAAAUUGGGUAAGCAAUUUACUUGGAAAAAAUGAUGGCAUCGGUUAAUACAGCGCAGUUGCAUGGACCCAUUUUAAGGCAUUAACCGUUCCCCGUAACACGUCCUCGCUGGCUGGAGAGGCCGGCGCCUCCAUCACCUACUACUUCCGGCCGGCUACUAUAUCUCAAAUCAAGAAAUCAAAAGCAGAUAUGCUGCUCUUUUCAAGAUUUUGUUACCCCUUUCUAAUUAAUUAGUCUCUUUCCAGCUUCUUCUGGGUUUAUUUUGGUUCUUGGUUUGAAAUUUUCUUCCCUUCCUUUUUUUCCUUUUGUCUGGUGGUUUGCUUCUGUCUGCAAUCUUCUAGUAGCUUUUUUUCUAGCCAAUUUUCUAUUUAUGGUCAACGAUGCCGGAGCAGCACGAUGUAACGUUGCGGCGUUCAAUUUGUCAUGAUCAAAUUCUGGUGUUGAUGUUAUAAAUUUCCACAGUACGGAUCAAAAUUCCUCUUCUUUUGGUUUUGGAAGAGAAACCAACGCAGAAGGUUUGUAGUUUCAACUUUCAAAGUCUCGAAGAAAUCCAUCUCAUUAAUUUUCUGGGCAAGGUCCACUCAUGGUCAUGGGCGGGCAUUUGUUUUACCGGGCGGCAGGCAGGCAGAGGCUUAGCUAGCUACCGUGAAUUUAUUUAUCUCUCUUUUGAUUUUUUAUUUUUCGGAAGGGAGCUACCAUGCAUGAAAUAUGGAUGUACUGAGCGAUGGAUAUAAUUGAAAAAUAAAUAUUAAAAAAAAAAUCUCAGUGGUAGCCACUAUUGCAUAUUAUGAAUAUUUAUGCGCAACGGAUAUUCUGUCCCAUAUUCUGUGCCACUCUCUAUCCCACUUUUUAUUAUAUUGUUAUUUUUCCUACAUAAACAUCAUGUUUUAAUUUUUUUUUGUUUUCUUAAGAUUCAAUAACUAUUAAUUGACAAAUAAACAUCAUGUUUUAGUUGUUUUCUUAAAAAGUGGGACAGAUAGUCCUCGCGAUAUUUAUGAUGCCACAUUAGAGAUUCAGAAUGGUCAUAUUUAGGCAACAAUUAGUGCUAGCUAGCAACACAUAUUACAAAAUCCCAAAAUUUGCUACCUAUAACUACUGCCGAUUGCUUGUCGCCAACUAAUAAGUAUUAGCCAAACCAAAACAGCUUAAAAAUGUCAAAAUAGUUGCAGUCCAGUAGUAUUAAUUUGGCAAACGUGGAAAUUUUCUGAUGCCAUGUUGUCCUUGCAUGAUACACAGCAUGCUUAGUUGUUUACCAACUUUGUAGAGGACCGGCACGUCCCCCCCCCCCCCCCCUCUUUAUCUAUCUAUUAUAAGUAGUAUUUUUCUUGAAAAAUUUUACUGUAAUAAUGUAUAUGAAAAAAUUGUACUAUAAAAAUUAUUUGAAAAUUUUAAUGUAUUAUAUUGAUGAGAAACACCAUAAAGUUGAAAUUCACGUUCUUAAUGACCAUUGUGAUUAAAUGGCAUGGGGGCAAAAAGAAAUCUUAAAUAAGCUGACGGGGCGGGGAAUGGGAGGUCCUCGCAAUCAAAAUGUAGGGUAGGACAAAAAAAUAUGAUAAAUGUUCAGUUCAACAAAAUUGCGAGAAAAGGAAGAUGAACAACCCAAUUCUCAAUAACGAAACAUAUUAUUUCUAGUCAUUGCAGUAGCGUGUAGAUCAUUGCAAUAGCUUUCCGACACACGCAUUAAGGAUGUGGAUUAAAGCACUUGUAAAGUAGUAGUACAAAGUAAGUUGGGGUUAACCUUUAAAAGUUGGAGUGACGAGGUUUCUGAGUUAUAGUAAAUUAUUUCCUGCAAAAAGUACACUCAUUCUUUCUAUGAUGUAUUAAUUCUUUGGGGUGACCACACCAGCCACUAUCAGCUGCAAGUUGCUGCUGCUGCUAAUGAUGCAGUAUGUGUCAUGGUCAAAUCUUUUGGAGUGUCCAGAGUAUAAAUAAUCGUCACUUUUGUCAUCCAAUAUUGACGUGUGCAAUUAAUGAUGAAGAGGAAGGACAUCCUGUCCUCCGUCCAAUGGUCUGGUGUAAACUUCGCUUCCUGUAUUAAUGCUUCUUAAUGUAGUACAGUAGUUGAUUUGAUUAUAUUCCUUGAACCUGAACAGACGCAGGUCAUAACAGGAAGUUGUGUGCAAGAAACAAUAAUAAGAUGCUAAAAGAAACUUUUUUUUUUUUUUUUUUUUAAGAUAUCUUCUCCUGUUGCCUGAAAACCAAUUAAGGAAAAAAAAAAAAAAAAUUCCCGCCACCAAUUAGAAGUAAUUUGGUGGUCGCCAAGGCACAUGCGACUACUGUCCCUUCCUAAAAUAGUUAGAAAUACACAAUUUUUUUGGUCCAACCCAAAUUCAAAUUGGAGUAAAUUUUUUUUGGUUAGUCUGCGCGGUUUUUAGGGUCUGCGUACAAGUUGACGUUUUCUUGUUCUCAAUGACAGAGAAUUAAUUUUCUCAUGUCAAAAACAAACCCCAUAUGUGAUGCGAUUUGUUGCUUGUAGACGUUACCCAUUAUUCGCAGUUGACUUAUUUGUAUCGUUAAAAACAGGAGGGUUCAUCUAGAAAGGGGUUUAAGUGGUUGACCAAUCAGACGUUCUUCUUCUUCUAUGUAUAUAUAUAUAUAUAUAUUGAGUCAACUAAUCCAAUUAUUAUUGCUGCUUAAUACAUGAUGAAUACAAAUACAUAGCAGACCAGACCUACUUGGCAUGGUGGAUUGCGUCUGAUUGUGGUCCAAAAGUACUUCAACAACAAUGCCUUAUAGAAGGUGGUGUUCGAGCGACUCCAACCAUAAUAUAUACUCCCUAUAAACAAACUAGGCGUGUUGAAUUAGUAAUUUUGUCAUUCUGACACUUAUGAUUAGUACUAAUCAGACCCAAGUUGCCGUACGGAUCCUCUAGCUAAACAAGCUAUUGGUACAAACAAAGAAAAAGCAAUCGUGUCGUGGCAUAUCCUCCGCCAAAAAAAAAAAAAGAAAAGUAUCUGACCCACCCCAGAAUCUCCAAGCAAAAGUUGUUAAACUCAUGCAAGCGCCGAUUCCUUGCUUUCGUUCAUCCUUGGAUACCAGAAGUGGGGGCAGCAACUGCAAGGGGAAGGAAUAUUGGCAUUGUGCCUUGCUCAAAGGCAGAAGUCUUUUCCUUGAAGCCUCUUUCAUUCUUUUUUUGGUCCAAAACGAAGCUUCUUCUUUCAUUCAUUAGUAGCAGCAAUUAUAUAUAUAUAUAUAUGUAUAUUUUUUCCUUUCCCUCCUCCUCUUGCAACUUAAAGAAUUUCUUGACAGAACCAGGGAUUAUCACCACCAAAGAAGAGAUUAAAGAACCAUUUUUCCUUCUCUGAUAAUUUAGAGAUUUUUGCUUCAAGGAGUGAACAACCGUUUAGAAAAAAAGUAUGAAAGAGACGCAACAUAUUAUUGCGUGCGUCAUCUUUGCUAGGGGCUGGCUAAGGCUAACAAAAUUUAAUAUGGCCCAUUCGUUGAACCUUGCAAAUUUAUUCCAACCACUCCUCUGCUCUGCCUGCGGUGAGGCGGCAAUCGUCAAAGCAAAGCAUUGGGUCCAUCCAUUGAGGGAAAAGAAGGAAAGGAAAGAAGAAAAAAAGCAUUGGGUGUACAAUGGCGGCAGGGUAGUGCGGGUCCACCAGUCCAUGCCACGUGCCCAAAAUUGGCUGCUGGCGGUGAUUAAUUUUGAUGGGCCAGAACCUGACAGAUGGGUUAGUUUCUCCAUCGUUAUUUGUUUCUCUUAUGAGAUAUGGACUUGUUGUGAUUUGAAACUCUAUUCGAGCUCAGUCCUGGAAACCUUCUAGAUGUGGGCGGUUUGUGCUGCGGGCGGCCUAUUAGAGUCUCCAAUUGGCCCGUUUUUGACAUGCUGCAAGUGAUUUAAAGAGUGGAUACAGUUAAAUAAUGCAAGGCUCUGGUGAUUAUUUGCCGCGUAUAAAUUUUGAAGAAACACCACGCAGCAUUUCUGACUUCCUAAGCUAAGCCGCCACCGUUCUGUCACUUUCUUGACCAUCUUUUUGGUGGCUUGCAGUUGCAGCUAGUUCUCGUCCGACAGACGUCAGAUUGCGCUGCUUGCAGGAAUAACAAGAAGGUAAAGUAGCAGAGGGCACUAAUUACUAAAUAUAACGGAACAAAUUAAGGCCUAACUCAAGAGACCCAACCUGAAAUCAACAUUUUCUAAACACACAGUACUGAUUUUUUAGUUUUCAAAUUCAAGUCCAAAUCCACCACGGCGGCGCCUUGAGGUUGUGUACGCCACGGUGAAUUGCAAGUAGAAUAAUGAGAAGUUAAACAACAUAAAAAAAAAAAAAAGGUUCUAGGCUCUCAGGAAAUCCAUUUAUAUGCCCCUUUUUGCUGAUUUGUUCUAGGCUACUAAAAGCCUCCCUUCCCAAUUCCCAUCAUCAUAUGUGGGGUGGGCCAAGUGUAACAACAUGGAUCAAGGAGCUAUAUAUAUUUAUACAGAUUCGUUAUGUAAGUAAUAUCGUCGCAUCAUUAACAAGUCAAAAAAAAAAUAGAGUCCAAAUUUCUUCUUACUUAAUUUUACUGUUCGGUAACCCUGGUAAGGAGUAGGGCCUAGAGGCCAAGAGCAAAGCGACACCCUUAGUUGGGCCAAAACUCCCCCUGGAAACAUGCGCUGGUGGGAGAUGGUAUUUUGGGCCAAAACUCAACCCAAGGAAAUUUUUUUUAAUUAUUUUUAAAAAAAGGGAUUUGUGAAGGUUGAAUCUCGGAAUUGCUUCAAUAUAGUUGUAGACAUAUAUAUAGGCAGCCUAGGUUGGUUCUUACGAAGUAAAAUCUCUCAGUUUAUGCCCCCAUGGGCCCCAUCCAGAGGCAGCCAUGGUUUGGUUUGACCAGGCUGGGCGGGUCAUAUGGGUGUUGCAGCAGAACUCUAUCAUCUCAUGAAACCUAAUCCAAUUUACUACUACAAUCCUACAUCUGACGAUAGUCUUACGAAAGAGUUGUUACUACUAGUUCAUCUGUUAGUGGGUCAAGAUUCACCCGAGUCAAACUGCAAAGUGUGGUGGUUAGGACUGUUGGGAAUAAGGCAAUCCAUGUAAAACUGUUCUCCCUACUUCUUUUACAGUUGCAGUUCUUCUUCCGCAACAAUUAUUACUUGGUUUGACCUUCAAUUCUCCCCAAGCAUUAGGCAACGAUCAUUAUAUAUAUGUUGAGAAAAUGUGCAAGUCUUCUUAAAAAAAAAAAGAGGUGUGCAAAUACAGAGGGAAAUGUUGAGAAAAAAAAGGUUUCCUCAUGCAAAUCUCAUUCUGCUCUGCAGAAAGAAGCAUAAGUUCUGUGUUUUGCCCAGUGUUUUUCCAAGUCCUACAAGAAUUUCAUUUCCAGGUGGUUACCUAAAUCUCUAACCAAAAGGAGUCUUAAUUCCAUUCCCAAUCUUAGAGUGAUUCGGUGCGGAAGAAAAAUAAAAUAAAAUAAACGUUACCAUAAUCUGAAUGAAGAAGGUUAUUCUAAAACGACUAAAAAUUGGUAGUAUUUCCUUUUCCAACACGGUCACAGAAAUUGGCGCUCCAUAGUCUAUAUAUAAGAGGCCAUCCAGCCCUCUUCGACAUUAAGAUUACAGCUAUCGAGCCCCCUGCACUUUAGAAGUUUUCAUUCAGGUAAUCUCUCUAUUCUUCGAAUCUUCAAUCUUCAUGCGCCUUGCCUUGCUUCCCAGUUUGGAUUUUAUCAAUUCUACGAGAAGCCUCAUUAGUAUAAUGUAGCAGGAAGUUGUUUAUAGUACGAUUGUAGUUGAAGUUAGAGAUAUUAAGGGUUGAAAAAAAAAGGGCAGUUUGUUGAAACAUAAAUCGAAGUAUACUUGUUGAAGUACAUAUAAUAUGAAUGACUUCUGAUGAUCUUUGACAGGUGCCCCAUCUCCAACAAAACUUGGAACCAUGUUUCCUUUUCAAUUGCAAACCCCUCACCAAACUACCUAACUACUCUUGCCCCACCAGUCUCCUAUAUUAAGACUCCCUCUUCCAAGUCUUUCCCUUCAAUCUUCCCUUCUCUCCAACGCAAGCACUAGUUAUAUUUCUCGCACCAAUUAUCUUUCUGAUCAACAGGCUAAUUGACAAAGAUGGGUGCAACAAUGAGAUGCAUGGUGAUUCUUGGCGUCCUGUUUGCUCUGUUUAUGUCGUCCACUUCUGCGCAGUCAUGUUCAAAGUACAACUUUGCUAGCAAUAAAGUUUUCAGUGCCUGCAGCGAUCUUCCAUAUUUGAACUCCUAUCUUCAUUGGACGUACAGCCCAUCUUCCCAGAGUCUUGAGAUCGCGUUUAGGCGCUUGGGAACAUCAUCAUCAAGAUGGGUUUCUUGGGCUAUUAAUCCAACUUCUCAAGGGAUGGUGGGAUCACAAGCACUCGUGGCUUUCCAGAAAUCUGAUGGAACCAUGAGAGCCUACACUUCGCCUAUAAAAAGUUACCAGACGGGAUUACAAGAAGGAGAUUUGAGCUUCCCAGUUUCGGAUUUAUCUGCUACUUAUUCGAAUAACGAGAUGAUCGUUUAUGCUACCUUGAAGCUGCAGAAUUCCAGCUCUACUCUGAACCAGGUGUGGCAAGAAGGUCCACUCUCAAACGACAGCCCUGGAAUGCAUCCCACCACUGGUCCUAAUGUCCAAUCCAUGGGCACUCUCAACCUACUUUCUGGAGAAUCUAAGACCACAGCAGGAGCCUCAAGUUCAAAACUCAAGGCUAAGAAUGCAAGUCUUUGAAUCGUUUUUCCCUUUCUUUCUUGAGUUCGUGAUUAUAUAUCUUUACUUUCCCCCCAAAAAAAAAAUAUAAAGACUUGUAGAUAGAUAGACAUUCCUUGAAUCUAUUUAACAUGUUAUUUGUAAAGAAAAAGUUAAUCAUGAUAUUGCUGACCCAAUCCGCUUUUUGAUAUGUUUCAGAUUCAUGGGGUGCUGAACGCGGUGAGUUGGGGAAUUCUGAUGCCUCUGGGGGCUAUAAUCGCAAGAUACGUUAAGGAAUUUCCUUUGGCGGACCCUGCUUGGUUUUACCUUCAUGUUACCUGCCAAUUAUCGGCCUUCAUCCUUGGCGUGGCCGGAUUUGGUACUGGGCUCCGCCUGGGGAGCCAGUCUCCAGGAAUCACGUACGCAGUCCACAGGGGCCUUGGCAUUGCUCUCUUUACCCUGGCAUUGGUUCAGGCGAGUGCUUUGCUUAUAAGGCCGAAGAAGGAUCACAAGUGGAGAAGCUACUGGAAUUGCUACCACUACCUGGUCGGAUACGGAAUUCUCGGCAUCAGCAUCGCCAACAUUUUCAAAGGAUUGGAUAUCCUGAGCCCGGAGAAGAAAUGGAAAAGAGCAUACAUUGGCAUCUUGGUGACCCUGGCAUCUCUUGCCCUUCUCUUGGAAGUAAUUGUAUGGUUCCUGAAGAGGAGCAAGAGAUCUGCAGGUGCUGACAAGUUGAAGUCGUCCCACGGCACCAAUGGGACAAAUGGACUAAAUGGCUAUGGAGGAAGGAAGCCUGAGACAGUCUAGUUUACCAACUUGAGAUUUAUUCCUCCCUAUACAACUCUUUUCAUUUAGUGUUUUCCUUUUCGGUCGUACCUAUUUAUGCACCCGCAUGUAUAUUUUCCAACUCGACGGCAGAGGUUUUAAGAUGAGUUUAUGAUUUAGUAGUAGUAGAAUUUUAGAACUCCACGCCGAUAUGUAGGUACUAUUGUUUCUUGAAUGGCAUCUGCGGAUUUAUUAUUUUUUUUUCCCAUGAUUAAAAUCUCUUAUCUAUAUGUGUCUUUUUUCCAUAGUCUUAUUUCUGAUCAAUAGGUGUCUGUACUCUGUAGAAAAAGCAAUUGGUGUAUGAUGACACACAUCAUUAUUUGCAGAGACCUAGAAAUAUUGACAGACAGACAGCAAAUACUUUAUUUGUCCCAGUCAAUUCGUCCACUUCCUGCAACAUGUGCUGAUAUCAAUAAUUUAAUUAUCAUAUUCUCAACCAUCCAUGAAAAAAAGCUAACUUUUUAUGUUGAUUACUUUGCCCUAAUUAUGCAACCAAUGCUAAAAUCAAGUAUCUUACGUUUUCUUGGAAAAAAAAAAUGCCCACAAGAGUUUCCAAGAAACAAACUACAGUAGCGCAAAGAUGCACAUUCCGCGGCAUGGCUAUAAAAACAGCAAAGCGCAGAGAGGAGAGGCAGAAAAUACUCAAACAUAGAACUAGCAAUUUCUUAAGAGCCAUAAGCUUCAGAUAUCAAGAAAAAGCAUUUUUAGGAGCUCCAUCCAAUGUAGGGUGAACUUGGAACUAAGGUAGUCAUAUCAAUUGGACACUACAGCGCAUUUGGUGCAGCUAAUAUUUUGCAACUCAGUAAAACUGACUAGGCCAUUUUCCAGCUAAUUAGAGUGCCUCUAAAGCCUUUGACGUGAACUGAAUAGAUGAAUAAUCUGUAAUUCUUCAUAAUAUAUAAGAAGGUGACUGUUACGGAACUGUUGUGGUAGCUCUCUGAGUUACCACGUUUCUCUCAUUUGGAUUGCUGCAAUGCCUCAAUGAAGGCAUCCUUGAGAAGAGGAUUUGAAGCUGCUAUUCUUUGCGAGGUGAUAUCAAAAUCAGCACCAGACCUGCGGCAAAAGCAACAUGCAAUACUCAUAAAUAUCCUCUUAUCAUAUAUAUAAGUUAAAGCAAUUAUAAAAUUCAGUGCUAUAUCUACAGAUGCGACAUUUAGAGACUUGGCAUGUUUCAUUUUGGAACGACAUUCUGAACUCCAGAACCACUGGAUGAACAGCAUGCAGAUCCAAUUCUUUUAAUAGACCAGGAAGAUGUCAGAAGUUCGGAGGACUUACGGAUCAAACAGAACGCCUCCAGCUUCUUUAACAAUGAGAGCACCACCUGCCACAUCCCAAGGGCCUCCAUAUCCAAGUUCAUAAAAGAGAUCAAGCCUUCCACAUGCAAUACCACAGAGAUUUAAAGCACAGGAGCCACUCAUCCGAAGAGACCUCACCUGAUGUAUUGAGAAACAAGUAAUAUUAAUUAUGCAAUUUAAAAACUAUAUUUAAACUCCUGAUCCCAUUGCAAGGAUUUAUUUUACCUUGAACAGUAAACUGUUAAUUUUGUUGGUACAGGUGUCCACAGUUAGUUUAUCACGCUUUGUCCCAGCCUGCUUCCAGGAAUCAUUCAUUCAGUAGCUGGAAGCAAACUAAACAUCCACAAUUUAAGAUGAAUAAACUUUAUGCUAGUUUGUACUAUCUCAUAGAAUUCACACAUGAGAGAGAGAGUGAAGAAGGAUCAAAUGAAGUCAUCCACAAUCUGAUGCUGCUGGAUCAGAACCAAUGUCUCAAUGUUCCCAAAGGGCAAAGCUAUAGCGCUUUUUCGAGCUAGUUAUUCAAACAAGAAUGCUUAAUGCAAAUUUUAAAAGGGUAAAAGAAAUAGACAAGGCUCAUCAAAAACAUAAUCUGUUGCUGAAAAAAUGUCCAUGGUCUACAAGAACUUAAAUUAUUACCAAAAACUUCAUUCAAUGUUCUAUUUCUGCAUGCUUAUGAUACGUUCAUGUUGCUGAAGAAAGCUGGUGGUGUUCACAAGCAUAAAAUGAGGGAAGGCCUCAAUGUUGUAACCAGCAUACAUUCUUAAAAUGUGCUACAGCUGAUGGAUGAAGAGUUACCCAAUGGUUCCAUGAAAAAGAUACCAGUAUGUGUUUAGCUACGUAUAGCUGAAUACCUACCCCUGUAGCAAGAAGAGACUUCACGAGUUCAGACUGAGAAGACACUGCAUAUGAACAAAAGAAGUUACUGAGAGGUUUCAAGUUUGAAUAGCAUCAAAAUAUAGCACACUAAUUGCAGAACUAAACUUACCUUUUAUUGGUUUUCCAUUCAGAAAAGCUCCUUUCCCCUCUAUCCCAGUGAAAAGCUGCAAAGUAGAAGAAAGAGUUUUCUCAACUCAACCAGCAAUUUUUUUUUUAUUUAUUAUUAUUUUUUGGUGCCACAACUCAAUCAGCAUUUGUUGCUAUACAUCUAUUGGAUUUGCUAUUUGUGAGCAUGAUGAGCAUAAUUUUGGAAACCCACUAUCCACUGGAUAAAGGAACCCCAAUAGCAUGAAGGGAACAAGAAAACAGAAGCAUCGUGCUUAACAGGUUUGCAAGAUGGACUCAGGCAGACACUACAGAAAUUACUCAUGAAACAUUUCAAUUAUUUAAGACAGAUCCCUCUGGCUUUAUUUCUUAGCUUUCUACACAUGUACAUUUUCUCUAACAUUGAUAGUUCAAAUACCAAAACGAGUAGGUUUUUCGUAAUAAAAAACAGUGUCUCACCUCAUCUAUAAUGGGAUUGUAGACAACACCAACUGUUGGAACCUUUCCAAGUGUAAGACCAAUAGAAACGCACACAAAAGGGAACCUACGAGUCACCAUAUUAUCAAAGUAAAUUGCUUUAGUAACUUGCCAUAUAUCAGAAAGUCUGUCUCAAUAGCUAUGCUUAUUGGCAAGGCCAAAUUUUUACCCAUGCACAAAGUUUGUUGUUCCAUCGAGGGGAUCAACAAUCCAAGUUGGUUCAUCAGUUAGCUCUGUGACACCACAAGCAGCAGUAGUUUCUUCUCCAAUGAACUAGCAGGAGCAGAUUAUUAGAACAAAUAUUAGUGCAAAUGUCAUUAAAAAAAAACACAUCCUCAUCAAGCACAAUUCAAACUACACUGCCCAGCCCAAAACAAGGCAUACAGAAUAAUGACAGUUUACCUUGUGGCUUGGAAAAUGUUGCUUAAGGUGAUUGAAUAUGAGAUCUUCACAUGCUUUGUCAGUUUCGGUGACCAAAUCCACCUUCAUUGCAGGGAUGAUAGCGUGGAAGGUAAACAAUAACCAAUUGUCAUUGAGCCUUUAAAAAGAGAGUAAACUGUAUACACUAUUAUAGUUGUAUGUAUGACACAUGCAAAAUUUGGAUUUCAAAUUCAAAUUCGGAUUAUGUGUUAUGUAUCUAAUGAUGAAACUGUAUAUACUAUCAGUGUAUAGAAAAUUAGUCCUCAAAGAAAUGUAUAGGAAAAGUGCAGGGGAAAAAAAAACCGCACCACAUAUCACAUGCAAUUGUAAACAACUAAAAAUGGUCCUUGCUCUUAGAAUUUUGAACCUCCACGCCCCAUUGUAGCAAGCAUUGAACAUUUUGCCUUCAUGUGGGCAUCAAGAAACCACAUAUAUAAGCAUUCCAAAAUCCUGAAAAUCUUUGUUUUGUCGUCAUUGAACAAAUUUUCCCUUAUACCGUACCCAACUCCCAUUGGCGGAAACUACCAUUGAAUUUGAAUGUAGCGGAAACUACCCCCCCCCCCCAAAAAAAAUCAAUCUUUCCACCCACCGUUAAUCAAGUAAAAUCACAUUAGUCACAAUUAACGGCAAUUGGUCAAAUUUGAAAGUAUCAGCAACAAAAGCAAAAUCGAAAAAUUCCCCAGACUCGAAGACAUGAUCUCAAAAGUUUUGGCCUUUCAUGCGAACGUCAAAGACAAAAAGGUGAACACCAGCAGAACAGAGCUCAAUGAACUUCGAAGGGGAAACAAUAAAAGUUCACCACACCUGGCUUUUAUGCUCCACAUGCUUGGUCUGAUAGAACCCAUUACGAAUUAACUGUUAAGAUGAAAGAGAAAAAUGAAAAGUAAAGUAAACCCAAAAUGACAACCUUUUUGAAGAUGUUGAAGGCGAAAAAACCAUACAAUAAAAGCCUAUCAAACAAAUUGAAGGGGGUGGGGGAGCUUAGGAAAUCAAUCAAGCAACUCAAGGGAAAAGCAACAAUGGAGAAAGCGUUAAACUUGAAAAGAAGAAAAUUGGUUGAAUGAGUGUGAGAGUAUUCAACCUCUCCAGCUUUCUUUGCUGCAUCCACUGCAACGGACAGGAAUUCCUCCACUGAUUUCAAUCAAGAAACGAAUUUUCAGUCCCAAGAAACAUGUUACAAACAGCGACGGUACAAUUUCCUUCACAAUCAAAUAACAGAUACAUGCAAAAAAAGAGGAAAAGAAAUUCUAAAUGUGAAAACAUUAAUUGGGGUCCAACCAUUUUGGGCCAUUCUUCUCUCCUGGGGGAAAAUGGGAAAAAGAGGGCGACGCAGACGUGAACAGAAAUGGAGUGGGUGGGGGUGUAGCGGGUUGGGGAUGAUGGACGGUUGGACGCUUUUAGAUCCUACCGGUACUCGUAAUUUGGCUGACACCAAAACAAGGACUGCCGAUGCUUCGUUGCAUGGGGGAGAUGGAAUUGAAACAGGGCAGCCAGCCUCCAACUAUUUUGCUAGUAGUAGUAGCAGGGGAGUGUAAUCUAUAGGCAUUUUUUAUUUUAUUUUAUUUUGUUUUAUUUAUUUAUGGGACGACCCGUCACACUGAUUAGUACUAAAGCUAAGGAGUAGGGACUAGGAACAGGAUACCUGAAAUCAAUUGAUUAGUAGCAUUUUCACCUUAUUAGGUUUUAAAACAGUUCAAAUAAAAAAUGUUAUCUUAAAUACAGUUGAGAUGAGCCCGACUUGCCAAUUUUGAUUCCAAAUUCAACUUGAACCAAUUCCGCUUAUGAUUUUUGAAAUAACAAAACAAGUUUUGAUAUGAACUUUUAAUUAAAAAGGGUUGAACAUGAUUGAAAGGUAGAUAGAUAUCCUUGGAGAUCGGAGCGAAUAACAUUCUUGAAAAUUCUCGCCUGCAUUAUUUGGUUGCUACAACAACUCGUAAUAUGCUCAUUAGAUAUUCCUCGCUAGUCGCUAGCUUACAUGAAAUGGAAAAGCCGCCCUUUUUUUUUCUUUCCUGGUUCUUAAAAAAUCAGCCGUUCUGGGAACCAACCAGAUGGUAACAUUUGUUUCAUUUUUCGUACGGCUAAAAACAUGUUUUGAUUUUAGUUGUAUCGAGAGAGAGAGGGAGAGAGGAAGCGAACCCGAGAAUUUCCACCAAGCAGCCCGACAGAAAGGGGGAUGCUGAGGAAUAUGCCAGCCAGAAUUCUGAUUCCAUCUGGCAAAUUAUUUUUGAUUGUUUCCUGUCGAAGGCUUCUAUUAUUAUUCUCGACACCAUUUCUCCUCUCAUCUGAGCUUGAGCAUGGUUCAGUGGCUGCAAGUGGAGGUUCAAAUUUCACUGCAGAGAAAAAAAUUUAAAAGUAGUGUUCAAUCACUUUUUUGAUCUAUUACAUCUCUUAGUUCUUAAUACAAGUCUCUUUAGAUUUUCCUUCUCCUAUAAAUUAAGAUAAAAUAAAUUAUAUAAUUAUUAUUGUUGCCCUGAAAAAGAAAAAAAAAAAAAAAGAAGCUACUUACUAUGAAUGAGAAUGAUACUCCCCUGCCAAUUUGUCAUUUCUUAGGAAUGCAAUAUGAGACUCCUUUUCCUCUCAAGCCUCGGUGAAACCGUGCACCGGACUGCGACUUUAGGACCUUCUUUGAUUACUUGACAAACACUGCUACAUUAGACAAUUACUAUUUGUUCUCUUUUGCUUCCUUCCAUUGACUUGUACACUUAAACUGUCAUAAUGAUUAAAAAUUUUUAUUAAAAAAAAAAACCAUUCUUCACCUUCCUUUUAACGAACAAAACAAAAACUAGAUCAAGAAUUCAGAACAGAACACUACAGUCUCUUAACCAUAUUCAUUUGCUGCAGCACACAGGUUUUCCCUCUACAAUGCUCAAGAUACCAACAAGUCUGCAAAAUGCUUUGAAGGUUUACAUUAUUCUUAUUAAUAAUACCAGCCAUGUACAUUCCUCGCUGUCAUAUAUCAUGCACCAUUCACAUUCAUAUUCACAUCUCUCUCUCUUGCUGAAUCUAUCGUCUUCCAGCUUUGUAUUCGGAAUAUUGAAACCUCCAGUUAGGGAUGCAAACGAAUCGAGCCGCUCGCGAGCAGCUCGAGUCGAGCUUGAAUCGAGCCGCUCGAUCGACUUGAGCUCGAGCUGGUCGAGCCAGAGUCAAGCUCGAACUCAAAACAUUAAACUCGUUAGCUCACGAGCCGGCUCGCGAGCUCGAGUAUAUAUAUUUAUUUAUUUAUUUUUAAUAGUAAAAUUACAUAAAUAUUCUUAAUAUUUUAUUAUUUAUUAAGAAAAAAUAUUAUUUUAUUUAUUUUUUUAAAAAUAAAAUAAUUAUUUUUUAUUUUUUUCGAGCUCGAGCUUGAAAAUUACCAGCUCGUCGAGCUCGAGCUCGAGUUCGAAUUCGAUGAAAUUAAGUCAAGACUCGACUCGAUAAGGCCAGAGCUCAACUCGGUUCAGCUCGUUUGCAGCCCUAACCUCCAGCAAACUAAAGAAGAAGAAAAAGAAAUGAAAAGCUUUACGAAAAGGGGGUCCAUGUUUCCAGAUAUUCUGUCACUAGAAACUAUCGUUGCAAAUAAAAUUGGAGGGAAGAAAAUAACUCCCGACAGAUAUUACAACUAGGAGGCAUGAACGCGCUUCGCGCGAUAGAAAUAUAAAAUGCCCUGUCCAGUUUUGAAGUAAUAAAAAUAACAAUUUAUUUAGAAAAGUAUAUUUUUUAGCAUAGUUAUUCCACAAGUUAAGUUUUGUUGAUACUUUUUGGCCGUUUCUCACAAAGCGUCUAGUCAAUGGCAACCGUCAACUUGCAUUUUUUGCAAAACCAUUUCUGGUGCAAAAAUGGAACCAAUGUAGUAUAUAAUACAGAGCAAGAAAAGAAAGAGCAUCCCACGAGUUGGUUAUUUACUGAUUGAGAAACUUUUGUGGCCUAUAAUAGCAAACACAAUUGGAAUUAAACAAGCCUAUAAUGUGGUCUAAUAGACUACAAUCUUAAGCAUCCAUUCAACACUAUAUCAAAGUUUCACGAUGACAACUGUUUGAGGGGGCCUAUACAGAACGUGAAAUUAUGAAUCUCUUAAAGACUGUAUUCACCUCUUCAGCCAGUGACA